GUUGAACCUUAACAUAAUAU
Molecule: microRNA, 20 nt
Filed under: Corchorus capsularis
Lineage: Eukaryota; Viridiplantae; Streptophyta; Magnoliopsida; Malvales; Malvaceae
Description: sRNA CCACVL1_12613
Source: RNAcentral